Molecule: unclassified non-coding RNA, 257 nt
Filed under: Hevea brasiliensis (rubber tree)
Lineage: Eukaryota; Viridiplantae; Streptophyta; Magnoliopsida; Malpighiales; Euphorbiaceae
Source: RNAcentral
GCCGGUGGCACCUCAUAAGUAUCACCCUCAUUAGAAGACAACUCAAAAACUGACCCAAAAUCCAUUACUCUCAAGUCCCCAGACCCAGCAGCAGCAGUAGGUCCAUCUCCCAUGGUAACCUUCCUAGANGUAUUCCAUUUGAACAUUCACUUGUUGCCCAAUAAGGCGACGUCUAAGGAAUUCCUUAGCUUCCCGAGCAUAAUUCUCAGGCUUUUCAUCUCUACGAGGAUUGCCCAUUUUUGGACACCUAAUACUUG